This is a non-coding RNA of Aegilops tauschii subsp. strangulata, 894 nucleotides long. NCBI's taxonomy places the organism in Eukaryota, Viridiplantae, Streptophyta, Magnoliopsida, Poales, Poaceae. The record is from RefSeq and is a predicted model, not a curated record.
AUCAAUAAAGACGGAAAAACAGUGCACACAAUAGACGAGUGGCCGAGUACAAUGAGCUUCUUUUAUAGUCAUGGAUUAUUCAUGUGUUAAACAAGUUCUGCUCAUCGAUUAGUUAUUAUCAAACCUGUGGAUUAUGUUUUUACUAUAAUUUAUGAUUUAAUUUGUACCUUGCAAACUCGGCAAGUAAAAAUAUCACUUAUUUAAGAGCCGAGAGAGUGUUGUUAAAAUGUGUCUGAUUACCUUUUAAAUGUUUUACAAGAUUCAGCGAUAUAUGAGUAUACUUCCAUGUCUACUUGAUUUCUAUACAGAAUAUGGGACCAGAUGUAGUGAAAUGUUUGCAUACCAUGUCUGGAUUCAACAAGCUAUUUACUGAUGGCUGAUUUUUAAGGAUGUCUUAUGAAGUUGUGAUUCUGCGAGGAAAAGCUCCGGUUCCAUUAUAUAUAUUCACUUUGGAAGGCAAAAAUUAUAUGUUGGUGGUUGCCCGAGAAAUCAAAAAGGCUAAAUCUUGAGUUGUAUGGAGCAUGGUCAUUUGCUUGAAGUUUCCAAUGGACUGUAUAUACCAUUGAAUGAGAGGAAUUAUUCCAUGAGUGUGGACAAAUUGAGCUGAUCGAUUGAUUGAGAAAAUAUUGUAUGGAUGUUCUCAGAUCUCCUUGCUCCACUACUCCUUGGAUUAUUACCUUUGUCCAUAUAUUUUGGUUUAUCUGAGCUGAAGCAGUGAUAAUAUACUCUAGAUAAAAGGAUGGACACAUAAGCUUGGGACAUGAUUGUGGCCGCUGUACUUCAAGAAGGUGCGGAGCUACGGUGAGCAGCAGGUUGCAUCGUCAUGGUGGUCGCCCUCGACCACGAUGGUGUGCACACCUUGGCACCAGGAAUUGGCUUGGGACGCCGUGGAGG